AUUGAACGCUGGCGGCAUGCCUUACACAUGCAAGUCGAACGGCAGCACGGGAGCUUGCUCCUGGUGGCGAGUGGCGAACGGGUGAGUAAUACAUCGGAACGUACCCAGUAGUGGGGGAUAACGCACCGAAAGGUGCGCUAAUACCGCAUACGACCUAAGGGUGAAAGCGGGGGACCGCAAGGCCUCGCCCUAUUGGAGCGGCCGAUUGCUGAUUAGCUAGUUGGCGGGGUAAAGGCCCACCAAGGCGACGAUCAGUAGCUGGUCUGAGAGGACGAUCAGCCACACUGGGACUGAGACACGGCCCAGACUCCUACGGGAGGCAGCAGUGGGGAAUUUUGGACAAUGGGGGCAACCCUGAUCCAGCAAUGCCGCGUGUGCGAAGAAGGCCUUCGGGUUGUAAAGCACUUUUGUCAGGGAAGAAAUCUUUCAGGCUAAUACCCUUGGAAGGAUGACGGUACCUGAAGAAUAAGCACCGGCUAACUACGUGCCAGCCGCCGCCGUAA
This 503-nucleotide ribosomal RNA is filed under the name uncultured bacterium. RNAcentral's name for it is "partial 16S ribosomal RNA". It matches the Rfam family "Bacterial small subunit ribosomal RNA", at positions 30 to 523 of the family's 1533-position model. The record is from RNAcentral.